Molecule: transfer RNA, 76 nt
Filed under: Butyrivibrio proteoclasticus
Lineage: Bacteria; Bacillati; Bacillota; Clostridia; Lachnospirales; Lachnospiraceae
Description: tRNA_Asn_GTT
Rfam family: tRNA
About the family: Transfer RNA (tRNA) molecules are approximately 80 nucleotides in length. Their secondary structure includes four short double-helical elements and three loops (D, anti-codon, and T loops). Further hydrogen bonds mediate the characteristic L-shaped molecular structure. tRNAs have two regions of fundamental functional importance: the anti-codon, which is responsible for specific mRNA codon recognition, and the 3' end, to which the tRNAs corresponding amino acid is attached (by aminoacyl-tRNA synthetases). tRNAs cope with the degeneracy of the genetic code in two manners: having more than one tRNA (with a specific anti-codon) for a particular amino acid; and 'wobble' base-pairing, i.e. permitting non-standard base-pairing at the 3rd anti-codon position.
Source: RNAcentral
GGAUACAUAGCUCAAUUGGCAGAGCGCCCGGCUGUUAACCGGGAGGUUGUGGGUUCAAGUCCCUCUGUGUCCGCUA